RNAcentral lists this ribosomal RNA (422 nucleotides) under uncultured bacterium. RNAcentral describes it as "bacterial SSU rRNA". It matches the Rfam family "Bacterial small subunit ribosomal RNA", at positions 355 to 774 of the family's 1533-position model. The record is from RNAcentral.
UAGGGAAUAUUGGGCAAUGGACGGAAGUCUGGCCCAGCCAUGCCGCGUGCAGGGAGAAGGCGCUCAGCGUUGUAAACUGCUUUUAUCGGGGAAGAACGGCAGUCCUGCGGGAUUGUGUGACGGUACUCGAGGAAUAAGCACCGGCUAACUCCGUGCCAGCAGCCGCGGUAAUACGGAGGGUGCGAGCGUUGUCCGGAUUUAUUGGGUUUAAAGGGUGCGUAGGUGGUUGAGUAAGUCUGGUUUGAAAGUCAGUCGCUUAACGAUUGAGGGUGGCUGGAUACUGCUGAACUUGAAUGCCCUGGAGGCAGGUGGAACGGGUUGUGUAGCGGUGAAAUGCAUAGAUAUUACACAGAACACCAAUUGCGAAGGCAGCUUACUAAACUGUUACUGACGCUGAUGCACGAAAGCGCGGGGAGCGAACA